This is a microRNA precursor of Cavia porcellus (domestic guinea pig), 68 nucleotides long. Ensembl annotates it as microRNA 188. Its record names the gene MIR188. Lineage: Eukaryota; Metazoa; Chordata; Mammalia; Rodentia; Caviidae. The record is from Ensembl.
UCUCACAUCCCUUGCAUGGUGGAGGGUGAGCUUUCUGGAAACCCCUCCCACAUGCAGGGUUUGCAGGA